This 858-nucleotide long non-coding RNA is filed under the name Callithrix jacchus (white-tufted-ear marmoset). RNAcentral describes it as "lncRNA (ENSCJAG00000075309.1)". The record is from RNAcentral. Lineage: Eukaryota; Metazoa; Chordata; Mammalia; Primates; Cebidae.
GAGAGCGCCAGUGCGUAGCCACGAUUCUGGGAGAGGAGGUGCUCGGAGGAAAGGGCGGGGGUUGCUGAUGUAAUGGGGAGAAGUGAUUAAUCCUUCAGUUCGCUGUUUCAGCCUCCCCCCACCCCAACCUUCACCCGAUUUUUUUGAGCUGAAAAAAAAGUGAAACGAGGGAGCCAAUCUGGUAACUCGGGUUUUCUGUGGUAGGUGGGUUCAAAAUCUGAGCUGUAGGGAGCGCUAGAGAUUUCGUGCCCUUUAGCCAAGCAGAGGGUAUUUGCAAACCCUGGAGAUUUCCUUCUCAGAGCUUUGGGCUUGGUAACUGAAGUUUGGAAUCGGUUCCUAAUCCUAGAUCAUCUAAACCUGUUUGACCUUUGGCCAAUUGGACUUGUUCUUUGAAGAAGUGUAUACAAUGUUCGGGAAAAUAAUUAUGUGAGAGGAGAGAAUCUCCCAUCUGGUGUCAGCCUUUACCUUUCAAUGCUGGGUCAAGGCAGAGGAUAGAAGAAUGCUUCCAGGGAAGGCAGAAGGAAAAAGAAGACACGUUCUCUGCCAGCAUAAGUGAGAAUCAGGGCCGUGCUUACUCCUCACAGAAACUAGGAACUUCUAAACAAUUAUUAAGGACUUAGUUUUGAUUUUCCUCCUUUGAAUGAGUAAGUAGUUUAAGACUUUUAGUAUUUUUUUUCUUUCUUUCUUUCUUUUUUUUAGAGAUGGGGUUUCUCCAUGUUGGCCAGGCUGGUUUCAAACUCCUGAUCUCAGGUGAUCCGCCCACCUCGGUGCCCGGCUGACUUUUAGUAUUUUUAGAAAGAGUUAAUUGGUUUUUUAAAAAGUUAUCACUGGUUGGGCAUGGUGACUCAUGCUUGUAAU